UCCAUUCUAGUCCCAAAGGUGCAAGGUAAAUUGUCUAAAGGCUUAAGGGUAGCUUGGAAUGAUUUUUGUCCCACAAAAAGGGGUUUACGGCCCAAGAGGAGUUCUUGGCCGUAAACUCCUACUAACUUGUGAUUUUGAUGAGCUUUUGGUGUUCUAAACAAGCACAAGUACUAGUAGUUAAAGUCCUUAAGCAUUUGGGGAAAGUUUUAGGGCAUUUAAGCCCUUGAAAAGGGGUUUACGGCCCAAGGGAGUUCCUUGGCCGUAAACUCCUAGAACUUAUGUUUCUUGGUUGCUUUUUGAUCCAUAAAUGUCAUACCCUAUCUCCUAAACAAGUCUUCUAGCAAGGAAUUGGGACUAGGAAGCCAUAAUGUUCUAUUUUGGAGUUUACUCCCCAAGAACGUUCUUGGGCGGUAAACUCCCGGAUCUUGACAUCUAGACAUGUAAUUGUUGUUAACAAGCAUUAAACAAGUAUUGAAACACAUAUAGAAAAGUAGACUCACAAUCUGGGAUGAAAACCCGAAGAUCCGUCAGAGAGAAUAUGGCUUUUCUCUAUUUGGAAUUGUGAAUAAUGAAUUAAUUUAAUUCAGAAACUAUUUAUAGUCCUGGAAUAUUUUGGCAGAAAAUAUUUUUAUUCCUGAUGUUGGACUGUAACAGUAUGAAACUUGAAAUGCCCAAGUUUCACAAAACCAGGAGUAUCCACUCUCCUGAUAUCAUCUAAAACAUAAUCCUAAUGUACACAAACUUGUUCGGAAAAGUUUGAAAAUCACUGAAACUGAACUAGUUUCUAUUGAAUAGAUGAGGUUCGUACAAUGGAAAUUUCGGGUUGUCACAUAUACAUACUGGUGGUAGCCAGGGUUCUCAAACAUAAUACAGUAACGGACAUAUAUGUUAGCAAAUAUUGGAUUUUCGUGAGGAACACUUUCAACAGAUUACAAAUGACCAAUACCGUUAACUUUGCAAGUACAUAGUGAAUACUCCAGGGUUAUGUACAUAGGGAUCCGACAACCAGUGGAAUGUGUGGUGUCCUCUCCAUUCCCUGUUCCUUGUUUGGUUGUGGGCUCGGGGUGGAACCACACAAUCGAUUGUUUGUUCGAUCUGGAUUGUAUAUGAUUUGUAUACAUUAAGUAUUCGCAGAAGGAACUGGUAUGAAUCUUUUUACUCAACAUUCAUUACAUCAAAAAUUAUAAGGUUUUUUGGAGAAACAUAAUGCACUUUUCAAGAACAUAGAACCGUUUUCUAAAACAAAACGCUUAUGAACUCACCAGCUUUAUGCGGAUACUCUUUCAAAAUCGCUUGUAUUCUCGGGAAAUCAGUAGACAGGUACUCCCGCCGGCUUUUGAGAAGAUGGAGCAUAUAGAGUCACGUCUUUAUAUUUUUGCUAAUUUUGAUGUAUAUGAAAAUAAUUCAAAUAGAUGUAAAACCCUUUUUAUAUAUUCAAUUUAAUGGUUGUGUUUACUUUGAUUACUAUGGUGCAAUUGUUGUGAUACAUUACAUGACGUCCUCCACCCCCCGAACGUUUCCACCGUUCCGGUUUUGGGGGUGUGACACAUGAACCAUGUUUCAAACAUUGUCCUUUGCUAUGAUGAUACGAGAUGCUUUGAUAAAACUCACACGUGUGUCAAAACAAUUAUGAAGAGGGAUAUCGUAAUCAUAAUUUUUAGACCUUUUUUCCAUUUCUCACAAGUCCAUGUUAGUGUGUCGGUUAACCACACACGCUCCACUAACGACUUUGAGAAUGCAAAUAUCACAAUUGCUAUCUACUUAAAAUCUACUUAGUUGACACCAUAAUCACAAGAUUUGUCAACCUUGAUUUUUAUAGUGUAUGUGUUCCUAUCCAUAUGAAUUUGUCAAAACCAUAAUCACAAGACAAGGUUAGUGACAAACUCAAAACCAUAUGGAUUGAACGUGUUCAACCUUGAUUUCUUGCCUCUUGGUAGCGCAAGCGCCUACCAUUGCUUCCAAGCUGUUAUGCACACAAUUGAGAACUCACGGAACUCAUAUACAUACACAACUUUACCGGAAUAGGCACAAAAACAAGAAUUAUGUCAACACGAUAGGUUACAAACAUCAAGCCGUGUACUAGCAAUAAACUAUAGGUUUUAUCCUUGAUUAGCUCUUGAAACUUUCAAGACCUUUAAGACUCCCACUGUUCUCUUGACAUAUAAGUUUCUCUUUGUCAAGAACCAUUCCUUGACAACCAAACAAAUAUUCAAGAGUCAGUGCAGAUUCUUAUCAAGAUAAACACUUCAUUGGCCUUAGUUGGUCUUUGUUUUAUCCAAAACAUCACAACUUACCAAUUUCAAAUGUACAAGAGUAGAAAACAUUUUACUCUUACAUUUGACAAGUGUUAUAAACCUUCUUUAAGAAGUGUCACUCAAGUUACAAUCUUGGAGUAUGACUCUAAGACUUGUUUUGGAACGAAGUAUGACUCGUCUUCUUGAUUUCAACCACUUCAAUAAUUCAUGACUUUGCUUCUUAUCCAUAAGAAUGCACUAAGAUGUCCCAAGAGGAUGAAUUGUGAUAUGGUCUCACAAUCAUUAAGAUGAUCAUAAAACAUGAUACUAAAGUACUCUCCCAUCCUUUCAGAUUUGAGAAACUUUUAUCUUUCUGCCAAAUUUGAUUCUUCUCAUUCGUUCUGCCAUACAUUGAAACUUUUCCAAUGCUUCAGAAUUAUACUUAAACUAUUAAGCAUAACCAUAUUUACUAAACUCUAGUAAAUCAUGAGGAAUAGUCUUAUCGAUCUUUUUGAUGGACUUUGACCUGCACACACCCAAUGUAACCGAUCCUUUAGUCUUUCACCUGACUCACAUAUACAUGUGGUCAGGGAAUUUCUCUUAACUUUCCAAAAAUGAAAUUUUCAUUCAUCAUGCAAUACAACCUACAUGAUUCCAAGUUUCGGUCCAAUUGAAACUUGGGUGAUGAGAAUCUUUCCUUAUUUGGUAAAUUUAGACACUACCACAGAUGAAAGAAUCAAUUCAUUAUUGCUAGAAACAUACACACAUUAACUUUUCAUAAACUCCAUUGCAAGGAGAUAUAAAAUGAAGUAAAACAAAAUUUUUAUUCAUUUAUAAAAUACGAAAAAAAAAUCCUUAUAAUGCAACUUUAAAUGGAAACUAUGCUAUUACAUAUUUCCUAGCAAUCUAUCAUAACUCCUAAGCAGCAGCUUAGGAAUCCGAUCUUCGAACCAUGCGAUUGAAAUCCAUCUUUGCAAUCAGAUUUAGCAUACUCUUCUUUUAAGCUUCCUUCCCUUUUCUUAAUCCUGCAAAACAUUAAAAUGCAACCCGAUCACAUCAUGUAUUAAGGAUCAACAAUUAGGAACUUAACAGAGUUAUAUAGUUGACUUACCUAAAGUAGAACCAUACAUUCUGACUAAAGAUCUCAGGUAGUCAGGGCAGCUUCGAUUCCAAUGUCCCUUUCCUUGGCAAUAGAAACACACAGGCUCAUCUGAGCCAGCACAUAUAGCAGUCUCAUAAAUGGCCUUUCUCUUAUGAUCAUCACUUUUGACCAUGGCCAACUCCUUCCCUUUAGGAGAAGGAAUCAUUUUUGGGAUGUCCAUGUCAGCUUGGGAGGCAGACCUUCCAUUCCAAGUUGCUUAACCAUUGCGCCAAAUCAUUGUUGAUUCAGCAACAAUUAGCAAAUAGGUAAGAUCUACUAGGGUCAUGUCUAGAUCUGUCACAUAGUAGUCUUUAACAAACUCACUAUAUGACUCAGGAAGUGAUUGAAGAACCCAGUUAAUAGCCAACUUCCUUGGGAACCCGACACCCAUCAUCCUUAGCUUGUCAAUGUGUGCCUUCAUCUCUAAGACAUGUGCACACACUGGCUUUCCAUCCUUGUGUUUACUAUCCAAUAGGACUUGAGUGAGUUUGAACUUUUCAAGUCUUUGAGCUUAUGGGUCGGGGAGAACAAUUGGAGAAGGUGGAGGAAGUGAAGCAUGAUGUUGUGGGACAUCAUCUUCAAGAGAUUUGGGAAGAUCAUACUUGUCUGAAUCAGACAUCUACAAUGGGAGAAAUUCAGGUUAGUUAAUUUAAAAUCCUUAAUAUAACACCCAAUAUGAAAUAUUAAGGCUAGGACCCAACACAAUAUUUUAUAACUUGGAAGAGGGAUGUCGUAAUCCAAGAUAUAGAAUAUUUGAAGGUAGGCGAAUGACGAUUCACCAAUUUCCACCAUGAAAAACGAAAUGAUUUAUUAGGUUUUAAUUGGAUUCGAAACUCCUAGAUCUUUUGAGAUUCAUUGAACUUUUCAAUGGCAUGUUUCAUUCUCGAUUGUGCCCUUCAGAUUUUGUGACUAGGAUGCCGAGGAUCACAAAACAAGAUGUGAAUAACCAUGCAAAUUCACUUGGUACCCUUAAUAUUAUUACCUAAUCAAAAUGACGGUUAACCACACACGCUCCACCGAUCUAUGAUAAACAUUAAGUCACCCUUUUCCAUCCUUACUAAUUCAAGUUGGUGUGCCGGUUAACCACACAUGCUCCACCAACGACUUGGUAAGGUACAAAGUGUAAAUUUCAUGGGUUAGCACCAAAUUCACAUUUUCCUAAAGUAACUAAGAUUGGGAUUUUAUAAAAGGUUUAGUUACUUUAUAUUNCCCUCCACCAGUCAACGAAGCGGUGGGUGAGAGUGGACACCCAUUAAACUACCAUUUUAUAGGCAGUAACCUUAUACCCCCCUCAUAGACUGUGUUCGUGAAUGAGGCCUACUAAUGGUAAGACUGACUUAUUCUUAUAUAUAUGUGUGUAUAUAUAUAUAUAUAUAUAUAUAUAUAUAUAUAUAUAUAUUAUUAACUUAUAAUACAAUAAAGUAUAAGGGUUGAAUUUUAACUUUUAAAACUCUAAGGGCUGGAACUAAAGUGUGUGUGAGACUUUACAAAUACCUAAACUUGAGGGCAAGUUUUGAACAAUUCAAAAACUUUUGGAUUUUCAUAACUUAUGAGUUUAAAUAAGGUUUUAAAAACUUUUAAUGAAGAGACUCUUGGUCAUCCAUAACUUCAGGACAAGUUAUGGAGUCCAUAAAAACAUUUAUGAUGAAAAGACUCUUCAACUUGUGAAACCUAUGGUUUUUAAUGGACUUUAAAGAAAAGACUUUUGGUAAUCCAUAACUUGAGGAAAAAUUAUGGAUUCCAUUAAAACACAUCAAAAUCAAGAAUUAGCUAACAAACAAUUUGCAAAUAAUUCCUAUGAUCUAACAAAACUCAUAAGUUCAUGAACAUCCACAUCAACAAUUUCAAGAAUCAUAUGAACACAUACAAAGCUUGAAAUUUUGAUAAUAUACUUUGAAAUUGGAUUAGCAUAAUCAUUACAACAUAAAAAACAAGUUUUAUAAGUCCAAAACAGUUUAAUGUAAUGAUUUUAGUCCAAUUCCAGCUUAAAAACUUGAAAAACUGCACUCUAGGCCUCUUACUCGUCGAGUGCAUGAACCAACUCGACGAGUAGGAUGAAUGUAUUCUUGGACUCAUCGAGUCUCCCCAUGGACUUGAUGAGUCCACUGUCCAGACAGCAAAAAAUUUCUAUUUUUCAAGUGUUUGCAUCAAGUAUUCAAGAAAACAAGCCUAGUCUCCGAUACAACUUGUCACACCCCAAAACCAAGAACGGCGGAAACGUUCUGGGGCGGAGGACGUCAUGUAAGGUAAUCACAACACAGUAAAUGUAAAUAGGCAAACAACAUCAUCCAUUGCAUUAAAUAUAUAAAUUUAAUACAUGCGUGUUCUGUUACAGUUUUAGACACCAAAAAUAUAACGUAAAUCAAAAUAAUAAAAUGAUGAGUCUUAGAACACUCCAUCUUCUCAAAAGCUGGCAUCGGUACCUGUCUACUGAUGACCUGAGAAUACAAAUUAUUUUGAAAGAGUUUAUCAGCAUUAAGCUGGUGAGUUCAUAAGUAUUUUUGUGUCAAUGUUCGUUGUCAAAAACGUUUGAACCUGUCUCAAUGUAUAAGUUUGUAAAAGUUUGAAUCUCUCAGAAAAUCCCAUAUUUUCUAUAAAAGUAGCCUUCUACCAAGGCUUAACUGUUUUGUAAACUCGUCUGUUGUAAAAGUGUAUAAUUACCCAAGUAUAACUAUCAUUUGUCAAAAUAUAGUUUGUACAUUAAUGCUUAAGUGAGAUUAUCACCAAAAUAUGUAAUGGGUAAAUCAUUGUAGUACUGUAGUUUUGUAAUAUAAGAACUACUGUCGUACUAGUUACUACUACCUUAAACCGGAUUUAUAUUAAGGUAUAAUGUGAUAAUUGCACCAUACUAUCGACUGAUAACAACGACAUAAAGAACGGUCGUAAUAACGGAAUGACGUUUGGCACCCGCAGACCUGCAGGUCCGGCUGUAGCUAGCAGCAAGGUGUAGGAUAGUCAAUCCAGUAUAGAUCUAUACGCAAACUCAACGCUCUCCCUCCAAGAGAAUUCUGGCUACAACUCGGGCCAUGACAUUUAAGGCAUGCUCCGAUACAGUGGAUCACAUUUGUUAUCGUAUUCUUGCAUGUGUGAUGAAAUGUUUCUUGUUCUAGUAUAGUUGUAUAUGUUCUCGUAGUAUAGUUGUAUAUAUUCUCUUCCUAGUAUAGACUCAUGAAUGAACUGACUCAUUGAUCUAGCAGUUGUAAUAGUAUGAUUCUGUGUUACCCCGAUGGUAACUUGUUAACAGUGCGUUUAGUACAUAUGAUUAUGGAAGUACUUUUAUGUCUAUAUAUGUAUAUUUGAUAUAUAAUUAAUAUGGAAACGACCUUCGGAUGGUCACCCAAAAUCCUAUCAGACCACAUCCAAAUCGAGGAAAAGGAAACAAGGUGGAUAGCCUUCCUAAGUCCUUUAAACAUUAUUUAUACGUCUAUACAUAUAUGGGCAUGCAAUUUGUAAUAUAAAAGCAUAAAUAAGUAUUUAUAAGGCAUUUGAAACAUAAGUAUUAUUUUUAAAGAAAGAUUGACUUGAUGUCAAUCUAUAAAACCAUUUGAAGGUGUAGAUUUGAUUAAAACAGUUUAAGUAUAAGGAACAUUUGCUUAAAUCACAGUUGCAGUGUAAAUUCGAAAAGUAAAUGGGUUUGGAAAACAUUUAGAAGUAAAACAGUUUGAUAGAUAGUUUGAAUAGUGAUAAAACCACUGAUUUCCCUAGUUAUUAAUCACAUGUGAUUAGUACAAUCACAUGUGAUUGAAACAAUAACUAUAAGUAUUUAACUUGUAUUCCCCCCCUUUUGAAAGCAUAUAAAAGCAUUUAGAAUAUUUAACAGGUUGAUUAAGGGGUAUGAAACUCACUUGAUUGAUUGAAGAAAGCGAGAUGGAAAACCGGGCAGAGUUUCGUCUCGGAAAACGGAUUUUUCUCGGGAUUCUCGGGAAUCUCGGGAGUAAAAUCGACCCUCGGGACUUGAGCAAAAAGACCAGAGCUUCGGGUUAUAACGGGCACGGAAAACGAGACAAAGUUGUGAGAGAGAGGAGAGAAAUGAGCAACAUUUUCGGAAAGCCUCGCAUCCUAUUUAUAGGAAGGCUGAACCGCCUCCGAACGCGGGGCGUACGCUCGUACGCAGCGCGUACGCGUACGUCAUGCAUGACCGAAGCCUCGACUGCCUCGGUUCGGAUGGGACGGGUUGCUGGGUACGCGGGUCGGAUGGGACGGCGGGUCGGACGGGACAGCGGGUCGGACGGGUCGGAGCUUCGGACGGGUCGGACGGGUUAGAACUCUUCGGAUAGUGCGACGUGGACGAUCCGAGACCCUCGAUCUCAGUACGCGGGGCGUACGAAGGUACGCAGGGCGUACUUCGGUCCAAUCCGAUGACUCCCCUUCGGAUAUUACCGGGAAUUUAUAAUUAAAUUCUUAUUUAUUUUAAAUAAACUUCAAAAAUUCAUAUCUCUCUCAUACGAACUCCGUUUUUGACGUUCUUUAUAUCCACGCGAAGGUGAGACCAUGAUCUACGACUUUCGUUUAGAUUCCGUUGGCAAAUUCCGAAAUUAUUUUUAUUAUUUAUUUAUUAAAAUGACGUGAUUAAGGAAUUUCUUCAAAAAUUCAUAACUUCCUCAUCCGAAGUCAGAUUUGGACGUUCUUUUUAUGUACGCAAACCUUGAUAUGAUUCCUAUUACUUUAUUUAAUCCGAAUAAGAUUUUAGGAAGGUUACAUUUUGACCUAAAUUUGAUCGGUUUUACAUUACAUUGACUCGAAAUAUCGGGUUGUCACAUCAUCCCCCCGUUAGAAGGAAUUUCGUCCCGAAAUUAGAAUUUUAAGCAAGCUAGAAUUUACAAAUAACUAAGCAAAAA
This 8213-nucleotide long non-coding RNA is filed under the name Lactuca sativa (garden lettuce). RNAcentral's name for it is "long non-coding RNA (LSAT_LNC010082)". The record is from RNAcentral. Lineage: Eukaryota; Viridiplantae; Streptophyta; Magnoliopsida; Asterales; Asteraceae.